UAUUUUAAAUGCUUUGAUAUUGCAUAAAUUAUGAGGACGACUCUAUGGACAUGUUUGGCGAUGAUUCGGCAAGUGUAAAAUCCCGAUUGAACUUUAAGAAUAGAUUAGGUUACGAAUGACAUGUCAUUAGGGGUUAUGUGAUUUUGGGUGUUGGUCCGUACAUCCUACCGAUGGCUGAGUCAUCCGACAUGUGUUGCGGAUACUCGUCAACUUGUGUGAGCAGUACCGUGUAGCUUCGUCAUGACCAUCAGCUUGUGUGAGCAGACCUGUUGAUAGCUCUAGUAUGAGCAGUAUAUGGGAUACGAGAUUCAGAUAGCUUUGGCUAUAUACAUAUGUGGCACUUAGGGUGCGAGUUUCUUGAGUAUCCAAUAGUAUUCUGAAUAGUUCAACGGGUAUAUCGAAGAUAUAAAAUGGUGAUAAUAGAUACGUAUCAAUAGAGGUAUGUAUGAAAACUGAAUAUGCAUCGAACAUAUGAAAGAAUUGAUUUCGUGGUUAAAUAGAUGAUGGAAUACAUGUUAACAUUGUGGUUAAAUAUUUUGUAGUAUGUUAUAUGUAUAUUUUGAAUGGUAAAUAAAUGGUGAGUUUUGCUUAUUAUUUUCAUACGAG
Molecule: long non-coding RNA, 606 nt
Filed under: Gossypium barbadense (sea-island cotton)
Lineage: Eukaryota; Viridiplantae; Streptophyta; Magnoliopsida; Malvales; Malvaceae
Description: long non-coding RNA (GBAR_LNC004155)
Source: RNAcentral